GUGGGGAAUAUUGGGCAAUGGGGGAAACCCUGACCCAGCGACGCCGCGUGAGGGAAGAAGGCCUUAGGGUCGUAAACCUCUGUUGUGUGGGAAGAAGAGCGUGACGGUACCACACGAGGAAGUCCCGGCUAACUACGUGCCAGCAGCCGCGGUAAUACGUAGGGGACGAGCGUUGUCCGGAUUUACUGGGCGUAAAGGGCGCGUAGGCGGUCAUUUAAGUCAGCUUUGAAAUGGUUUGGCUUAACCGGAUCAUGCGGUUGAAACUGGAUGACUGGAGUGCUGGAGAGGCAAGUGGAAUUCCCAGUGUAGCGGUGAAAUGCGUAGAUAUUGGGAGGAACACCAGUGGCGAAGGCGCCUUUCUGGACUGUGUCUGACGCUGCGAUGCGAAAGCCAGGGUAGCGAACGGGAUUAGAAACCCCGGUAGUCC
Molecule: ribosomal RNA, 427 nt
Filed under: uncultured bacterium
Lineage: Bacteria
Description: partial 16S ribosomal RNA
Rfam family: Bacterial small subunit ribosomal RNA
Source: RNAcentral